Non-coding RNA from Microcebus murinus (gray mouse lemur), 483 nucleotides. NCBI's taxonomy places the organism in Eukaryota, Metazoa, Chordata, Mammalia, Primates, Cheirogaleidae. The record is from RefSeq and is a predicted model, not a curated record.
UGCAGCUAUGUACUGUUUAGGCAGUACGAUGUUUUAAAAUGAACCUGAAUCAUUCUAAAACAUUGAAAAAGUCAGGAAAAUUCACAUAAGAAUCUAGAUUUCUAGCUUUCUUUGUGCUUUCAUUUGGCGACAGUUGCCCAAAGGAGCCCUUUUAGGCAAGCCCUCCUUCCCAGUUCUACACGGUCCCAUCUGGUCCACUUCACUCAUUUAUAUGAUAUUACCUGCCUACUCCCUAUAGGAAUUGAAAUAUGCAACCUUGAAUGAGCUGUUUCAGCUUUCAGGCUUAACAAUCUGUGAAAUUUAAGCCCGGUAGAAUAAACACAAGCUGCCACUUGGAAAACAGUUCUGAGGAAAAGCCCAGCUGGGGAGGCAAAUGUGAGAGGAUCCAAAAAGCUGCCAAGUGACCGUAUUUUGGGAGUAAAUAACUGGGAGUGGAAUUUCUGGAUCAUAGGCCACAGACUUCAGGAGAAACUGACCCUACCG